CCCUUAGACGUUCUGGGCCGCACGCGCGCUACACUGACCAGUGCAACAAGCAUCCGUCCUUGGCCGACAGGCCCGGGCAAUCUUUGAACGCUGGUCGUGAUGGGGAUAGACUUUUGCAAUUUUUGGUCUUCAACGAGGAAUUCCUAGUAAACGCAAGUCAUCAACUUGCAUUGAUUACGUCCCUGCCCUUUGUACACACCGCCCGUCGCACCUACCGAUUGAACGUUUUAGUGAGGUAUUUGGACUGGACCUUCGGAGGUUCGCGCCUCCGUUGCUGUUCGGGAAGACUCCCAAACUUGAGCGUUUAGAGGAAGUAAAAGUCGUAACA
Molecule: ribosomal RNA, 328 nt
Filed under: uncultured eukaryote
Lineage: Eukaryota
Description: partial 18S ribosomal RNA
Rfam family: Eukaryotic small subunit ribosomal RNA
Source: RNAcentral